RNAcentral lists this ribosomal RNA (502 nucleotides) under uncultured bacterium. RNAcentral describes it as "partial 16S ribosomal RNA". It matches the Rfam family "Bacterial small subunit ribosomal RNA", at positions 30 to 523 of the family's 1533-position model. The record is from RNAcentral.
AUUGAACGCUGGCGGCAUGCCUUACACAUGCAAGUCGAACGGCAGCACGGGAGCUUGCUCCUGGUGGCGAGUGGCGAACGGGUGAGUAAUGCAUCGGAACGUACCCCGAAGUGGGGGAUAACGUAGCGAAAGUUACGCUAACACCGCAUAUUCUGUGAGCAGGAAAGAGGGGGAUCGCAAGACCUCUCGCUUUCGGAGCGGCCGAUGUCGGAUUAGCUAGUUGGUGGGGUAAAGGCCUACCAAGGCGACGAUCCGUAGCGGGUCUGAGAGGAUGGUCCGCCACACUGGAACUGAGACACGGUCCAGACUCCUACGGGAGGCAGCAGUGGGGAAUUUUGGACAAUGGGCGAAAGCCUGAUCCAGCCAUGCCGCGUGAGUGAAGAAGGCCUUCGGGUUGUAAAGCUCCUUCGGCUGAAAAGAAAUCGCACAGGCUAAUACCCUGUGUGGAUGACGGUAUCAGCAUAAGAAGCACCGGCUAACUACGUGCCAGCAGCCGCAGUAA